This 360-nucleotide ribosomal RNA is filed under the name uncultured Anoxybacillus sp. RNAcentral describes it as "bacterial SSU rRNA". It matches the Rfam family "Bacterial small subunit ribosomal RNA", at positions 1021 to 1382 of the family's 1533-position model. Lineage: Bacteria; Bacillati; Bacillota; Bacilli; Caryophanales; Anoxybacillaceae. The record is from RNAcentral.
GGGGGACAGGGUGACAGGUGGUGCAUGGUUGUCGUCAGCUCGUGUCGUGAGAUGUUGGGUUAAGUCCCGCAACGAGCGCAACCCUCGACCUUAGUUGCCAGCAUUCAGUUGGGCACUCUAAGGUGACUGCCGGCUAAAAGUCGGAGGAAGGUGGGGAUGACGUCAAAUCAUCAUGCCCCUUAUGACCUGGGCUACACACGUGCUACAAUGGGCGGUACAAAGGGUCGCGAACCCGCGAGGGGGAGCCAAUCCCAAAAAGCCGCUCUCAGUUCGGAUUGCAGGCUGCAACUCGCCUGCAUGAAGCCGGAAUCGCUAGUAAUCGCGGAUCAGCAUGCCGCGGUGAAUACGUUCCCGGGCCUU